GACGUAGGGCGCGAGCGUUGUCCGGAUUUAUUGGGCGUAAAGAGCUCGUAGGCGGCUUGUCGCGUCGUGUGUGAAAUCUCAGGGCUCAACUCUGACAUUGCAUACGGUAGUACGGCAGGCUUGAGUUCGGUAGGGGAGACUGGAAUUCCUGGUGUAGCGGUGAAAUGCGCAGAUAUCAGGAGGAACACCGGUGGCGAAGGCGGGUCUCUGGGCCGAUACUGACGCUGAGGAGCGAAAGCGUGGGGAGCGAACAGG
RNAcentral lists this ribosomal RNA (255 nucleotides) under uncultured bacterium. RNAcentral's name for it is "partial 16S ribosomal RNA". It matches the Rfam family "Bacterial small subunit ribosomal RNA", at positions 524 to 776 of the family's 1533-position model. The record is from RNAcentral.